Molecule: ribosomal RNA, 1612 nt
Filed under: Lactobacillus sp. rennanqilyf4
Lineage: Bacteria; Bacillati; Bacillota; Bacilli; Lactobacillales; Lactobacillaceae
Description: partial 16S ribosomal RNA
Rfam family: Bacterial small subunit ribosomal RNA
Source: RNAcentral
AUUAGAGUUUGAUCCUGGCUCAGGAUGAACGCCGGCGGUGUGCCUAAUACAUGCAAGUCGAACGCGUUGGCCCAAUUGAUUGAUGGUGCUUGCACCUGAUUGAUUUUGGUCGCCAACGAGUGGCGGACGGGUGAGUAACACGUAGGUAACCUGCCCAGAAGCGGGGGACAACAUUUGGAAACAGAUGCUAAUACCGCAUAACAGCGUUGUUCGCAUGAACAACGCUUAAAAGAUGGCUUCUUGCUAUCACUUCUGGAUGGACCUGCGGUGCAUUAGCUUGUUGGUGGGGUAAUGGCCUACCAAGGCGAUGAUGCAUAGCCGAGUUGAGAGACUGAUCGGCCACAAUGGGACUGAGACACGGCCCAUACUCCUACGGGAGGCAGCAGUAGGGAAUCUUCCACAAUGGGCGCAAGCCUGAUGGAGCAACACCGCGUGAGUGAAGAAGGGUUUCGGCUCGUAAAGCUCUGUUGUUAAAGAAGAACACGUAUGAGAGUAACUGUUCAUACCUUUGACGGUAUUUAACCAGAAAGUCACGGGUAACUACGUGCCCAGCAAGCCGCGGUAAUACGUAGGUGGCAAGCCGUUAUCCCGGAUUUAUUUGGGCGUAAAGAAAAGCGUUAUCCGGAUUUAUUGGGCGUAAAGAGAGUGCAGGCGGUUUUCUAAGUCUGAUGUGAAAGCCUUCGGCUUAACCGGAGAAGUGCAUCGGAAACUGGAUAACUUGAGUGCAGAAGAGGGUAGUGGAACUCCAUGUGUAGCGGUGGAAUGCGUAGAUAUAUGGAAGAACACCAGUGGCGAAGGCGGCUACCUGGUCUGCAACUGACGCUGAGACUCGAAAGCAUGGGUAGCGAACAGGAUUAGAUACCCUGGUAGUCCAUGCCGUAAACGAUGAGUGCUAGGUGUUGGAGGGUUUCCGCCCUUCAGUGCCGGAGCUAACGCAUUAAGCACUCCGCCUGGGGAGUACGACCGCAAGGUUGAAACUCAAAGGAAUUGACGGGGGCCCGCACAAGCGGUGGAGCAUGUGGUUUAAUUCGAAGCUACGCGAAGAACCUUACCAGGUCUUGACAUCUUGCGCCAACCCUAGAGAUAGGGCGUUUCCUUCGGGAACGCAAUGACAGGUGGUGCAUGGUCGUCGUCAGCUCGUGUCGUGAGAUGUUGGGUUAAGUCCCGCAACGAGCGCAACCCUUGUUACUAGUUGCCAGCAUUAAGUUGGGCACUCUAGUGAGACUGCCGGUGACAAACCGGAGGAAGGUGGGGACGACGUCAGAUCAUCAUGCCCCUUAUGACCUGGGCUACACACGUGCUACAAUGGACGGUACAACGAGUCGCGAACUCGCGAGGGCAAGCAAAUCUCUUAAAACCGUUCUCAGUUCGGACUGCAGGCUGCAACUCGCCUGCACGAAGUCGGAAUCGCUAGUAAUCGCGGAUCAGCAUGCCGCGGUGAAUACGUUCCCGGGCCUUGUACACACCGCCCGUCACACCAUGAGAGUUUGUAACACCCAAAGUCGGUGGGGUAACCUUUUAGGAGCCAGCCGCCUAAGGUGGGACAGAUGAUUAGGGUGAAGUCGUAACAAGGUAGCCGUAGGAGAACCUGCGGCUGGAUCACCUCCUUAAU